CAGUAGCCGCGGUAAGACGGAGGGUGCUAGCGUUGUUCGGAAUCACUGGGCGUAAAGGGCGCGUAGGCGGCCUGUUAAGUCGGAUGUGAAAGCCCGGGGCUCAACCCCGGAACUGCAUCCGAGACUGGCAGGCUUGAGACCGGGAGAGGAGGGUGGAAUAUCCAGUGUAGAGGUGAAAUUCGUAGAUAUUGGAUGGAACACCGGUGGCGAAAGCGGCUCUCUGGCCCGGAUCUGACGCUGAGGCGCGAAAGCGUGGGGAGCAAACAGGAUUAGAUACCCCAGUAGUCCCUGUCUCUUAUAC
RNAcentral lists this ribosomal RNA (301 nucleotides) under uncultured bacterium. RNAcentral's name for it is "partial 16S ribosomal RNA". It matches the Rfam family "Bacterial small subunit ribosomal RNA", at positions 509 to 807 of the family's 1533-position model. The record is from RNAcentral.